GCCGAUAGGGCUGCAAAUGCAGGCUACUUUGAUAUAGUAGUAUUUAAAGGUUUUACUUUCGUCGGUA
RNAcentral lists this transfer RNA (67 nucleotides) under Neobenedenia melleni. RNAcentral's name for it is "tRNA-Ile". Lineage: Eukaryota; Metazoa; Platyhelminthes; Monogenea; Capsalidea; Capsalidae. The record is from RNAcentral.